AAUGGAUCCAAUUACACGUCAAGUAGGACAACAUAUUGAAAUGGAACCAGAGUGGGAAGCAGCCUUCACACUACAAAUGAAAUUAACACAUGUCAUUUCAAUGAUGCAGGACUGGUGUGCUUCAGAUGAAAAAGUGUUAAUUGAAGCUUACAAGAAAUGUCUCGCUGUACUGAUGCAGUGUCAUGGUGGUUAUACUGAUGGUGAACAGCCAAUCACACUAAGCAUUUGUGGACAUUCAGUGGAAACUAUCAGAUACUGUGUUUCCCAAGAAAAAGUUAGCAUUCACCUCCCAGUUUCUCGCUUACUUGCAGGUUUACAUGUAUUAUUAAGCAAAAGUGAAGUGGCAUAUAAAUUUCCAGAGCUCCUACCUCUAAGUGAACUUAGCCCACCCAUGUUGAUAGAACACCCUCUUAGAUGUCUUGUUCUGUGUGCCCAAGUACAUGCCGGAAUGUGGAGAAGAAAUGGGUUCUCUCUAGUAAACCAGAUUUAUUACUACCAUAAUGUGAAAUGCAGACGUGAGAUGUUUGACAAGGAUGUAGUAAUGCUUCAGGUAAUGAAUUAAAA
This 564-nucleotide long non-coding RNA is filed under the name Pan troglodytes (chimpanzee). RNAcentral's name for it is "long non-coding RNA NONPTRT014632". The record is from RNAcentral. Lineage: Eukaryota; Metazoa; Chordata; Mammalia; Primates; Hominidae.